UACGUAGGGGGCAAGCGUUGUCCGGAAUUAUUGGGCGUAAAGAGCGUGUAGGCGGUCCGGUAAGUCGGCUGUGAAAGUCCAGGGCUCAACCCUGGGAUGCCGGUCGAUACUGCCGGACUAGAGUUCGGAAGAGGCGAGUGGAAUUCCCGGUGCAGCGGUGAAAUGCGCAGAUAUCGGGAGGAACACCUAUGGCGAAGGCAGCUCGCUGGGACGUUACUGACGCUGAGACGCGAAAGCGUGGGGAGCAAACAGG
Molecule: ribosomal RNA, 253 nt
Filed under: uncultured bacterium
Lineage: Bacteria
Description: partial 16S ribosomal RNA
Rfam family: Bacterial small subunit ribosomal RNA
Source: RNAcentral